RNAcentral lists this transfer RNA (72 nucleotides) under Phrynosoma platyrhinos (Desert horned lizard). Its description in RNAcentral is "tRNA-OTHER". The record is from RNAcentral. Lineage: Eukaryota; Metazoa; Chordata; Lepidosauria; Squamata; Phrynosomatidae.
GCCAGUAUGGUGUAGUGGUUUGAGCGUUGGACUAUGAGUCUGGAGACCAGGGUUCGAUUCCCAGCUCGGCCA